RNAcentral lists this ribosomal RNA (326 nucleotides) under uncultured eukaryote. Its description in RNAcentral is "partial 18S ribosomal RNA". It matches the Rfam family "Eukaryotic small subunit ribosomal RNA", at positions 1470 to 1796 of the family's 1831-position model. The record is from RNAcentral.
CCCUUAGAUGUUCUGGGCCGCACGCGCGCUACACUGAUGCACUCAACGAGUCUCACCUUGACCGAAAGGUCCGGGAAAUCUUCGAACUUGCAUCGUGAUGGGGAUAGAUUAUUGCAACUAUUAAUCUUCAACGAGGAAUACCUAGUAGGCGUGUGUCAUCAGCGCGCGUCGAUUACGUCCCUGCCCUUUGUACACACCGCCCGUCGCUCCUACCGAUUGAAUGGUCCGGUGAAGCGCUCGGACCGCGGCCUCUUGACGGUUUUCCGUCGAUUGGCUGUGGGAAGUUCGUUAAACCUUAUCAUUUAGAGGAAGGAGAAGUCGUAACA